UGGUCAACAACAACAGAGCUAGUAUUUAUACCACUGAGAGAGACAGUGAGAAACAGAAACACAAAGAGACAGAUAAACAAAGAGAGAGAUGGGAAUAAGAGACGAGACAGAGAGGCCAUGAAGACAAUCACAACUUUUACCUUUGGACUGAAAUUACCUUCUUGUCUAUCUUCCAUCAGCUUGGACCUCCACUUCAAUUCAGGCCACUGGAACAACUUAACAUCAAGAAGGACAAGUGACAACAAUGGAUUAGCUCUGUGCCAUCAGGCGUCUCCUCCAGUGUUCAUUCAAAUCUGUAUUUCAACAAACCUGAAAAACUACGCAGGAUGGUGGUGCUGAGUGGCCCGUGGGCUGAUCUGGUUCUGUUCCUGAGACAAACGGUCACACAGCGAGAUAGAGACACAGACAGCUCUCUUGCUGUCUGGCUCUUUGUCCUGCUGCUGUUCCUGUCUGUCUCCCUGCUGCUGCUGCAACUGAUUAUCUACCUCAGCUGGAAACUCAGAGAGGUUGAGGCUGAGCUGUCGGAGUUUCCGCAGGACAGAAGCGCCAUCUACAGGCAGACAUACAGAUGUGCGCCCCUGAGGAAGAGAAGCGCCAAGUCGCAUCCACACACCUGA
RNAcentral lists this long non-coding RNA (617 nucleotides) under Mastacembelus armatus (zig-zag eel). Its description in RNAcentral is "lncRNA (ENSMAMG00000025249.1)". Lineage: Eukaryota; Metazoa; Chordata; Actinopteri; Synbranchiformes; Mastacembelidae. The record is from RNAcentral.